This 2934-nucleotide ribosomal RNA is filed under the name Escherichia coli. RNAcentral's name for it is "23S ribosomal RNA". It matches the Rfam family "Bacterial large subunit ribosomal RNA". Lineage: Bacteria; Pseudomonadati; Pseudomonadota; Gammaproteobacteria; Enterobacterales; Enterobacteriaceae. The record is from RNAcentral.
GGGUUGUGAGGUUAAGCGACUAAGCGUACACGGUGGAUGCCCUGGCAGUCAGAGGCGAUGAAGGACGUGCUAAUCUGCGAUAAGCGUCGGUAAGGUGAUAUGAACCGUUAUAACCGGCGAUUUCCGAAUGGGGAAACCCAGUGUGAUUCGACACACUAUCAUUAACUGAAUCCAUAGGUUAAUGAGGCGAACCGGGGGAACUGAAACAUCUAAGUACCCCGAGGAAAAGAAAUCAACCGAGAUUCCCCCAGUAGCGGCGAGCGAACGGGGAGCAGCCCAGAGCCUGAAUCAGUGUGUGUGUUAGUGGAAGCGUCUGGAAAGGCGCGCGAUACAGGGUGACAGCCCCGUACACAAAAAUGCACAUGCUGUGAGCUCGAUGAGUAGGGCGGGACACGUGGUAUCCUGUCUGAAUAUGGGGGGACCAUCCUCCAAGGCUAAAUACUCCUGACUGACCGAUAGUGAACCAGUACCGUGAGGGAAAGGCGAAAAGAACCCCGGCGAGGGGAGUGAAAAAGAACCUGAAACCGUGUACGUACAAGCAGUGGGAGCACAGAGCAAUCUGUGUGACUGCGUACCUUUUGUAUAAUGGGUCAGCGACUUAUAUUCUGUAGCAAGGUUAACCGAAUAGGGGAGCCGAAGGGAAACCGAGUCUUAACUGGGCGUUAAGUUGCAGGGUAUAGACCCGAAACCCGGUGAUCUAGCCAUGGGCAGGUUGAAGGUUGGGUAACACUAACUGGAGGACCGAACCGACUAAUGUUGAAAAAUUAGCGGAUGACUUGUGGCUGGGGGUGAAAGGCCAAUCAAACCGGGAGAUAGCUGGUUCUCCCCGAAAGCUAUUUAGGUAGCGCCUCGUGAAUUCAUCUCCGGGGGUAGAGCACUGUUUCGGCAAGGGGGUCAUCCCGACUUACCAACCCGAUGCAAACUGCGAAUACCGGAGAAUGUUAUCACGGGAGACACACGGCGGGUGCUAACGUCCGUCGUGAAGAGGGAAACAACCCAGACCGCCAGCUAAGGUCCCAAAGUCAUGGUUAAGUGGGAAACGAUGUGGGAAGGCCCAGACAGCCAGGAUGUUGGCUUAGAAGCAGCCAUCAUUUAAAGAAAGCGUAAUAGCUCACUGGUCGAGUCGGCCUGCGCGGAAGAUGUAACGGGGCUAAACCAUGCACCGAAGCUGCGGCAGCGACGCUUAUGCGUUGUUGGGUAGGGGAGCGUUCUGUAAGCCUGUGAAGGUGUGCUGUGAGGCAUGCUGGAGGUAUCAGAAGUGCGAAUGCUGACAUAAGUAACGAUAAAGCGGGUGAAAAGCCCGCUCGCCGGAAGACCAAGGGUUCCUGUCCAACGUUAAUCGGGGCAGGGUGAGUCGACCCCUAAGGCGAGGCCGAAAGGCGUAGUCGAUGGGAAACAGGUUAAUAUUCCUGUACUUGGUGUUACUGCGAAGGGGGGACGGAGAAGGCUAUGUUGGCCGGGCGACGGUUGUCCCGGUUUAAGCGUGUAGGCUGGUUUUCCAGGCAAAUCCGGAAAAUCAAGGCUGAGGCGUGAUGACGAGGCACUACGGUGCUGAAGCAACAAAUGCCCUGCUUCCAGGAAAAGCCUCUAAGCAUCAGGUAACAUCAAAUCGUACCCCAAACCGACACAGGUGGUCAGGUAGAGAAUACCAAGGCGCUUGAGAGAACUCGGGUGAAGGAACUAGGCAAAAUGGUGCCGUAACUUCGGGAGAAGGCACGCUGAUAUGUAGGUGAAGUCCCUCGCGGAUGGAGCUGAAAUCAGUCGAAGAUACCAGCUGGCUGCAACUGUUUAUUAAAAACACAGCACUGUGCAAACACGAAAGUGGACGUAUACGGUGUGACGCCUGCCCGGUGCCGGAAGGUUAAUUGAUGGGGUUAGCGGUAACGCGAAGCUCUUGAUCGAAGCCCCGGUAAACGGCGGCCGUAACUAUAACGGUCCUAAGGUAGCGAAAUUCCUUGUCGGGUAAGUUCCGACCUGCACGAAUGGCGUAAUGAUGGCCAGGCUGUCUCCACCCGAGACUCAGUGAAAUUGAACUCGCUGUGAAGAUGCAGUGUACCCGCGGCAAGACGGAAAGACCCCGUGAACCUUUACUAUAGCUUGACACUGAACAUUGAGCCUUGAUGUGUAGGAUAGGUGGGAGGCUUUGAAGUGUGGACGCCAGUCUGCAUGGAGCCGACCUUGAAAUACCACCCUUUAAUGUUUGAUGUUCUAACGUUGACCCGUAAUCCGGGUUGCGGACAGUGUCUGGUGGGUAGUUUGACUGGGGCGGUCUCCUCCUAAAGAGUAACGGAGGAGCACGAAGGUUGGCUAAUCCUGGUCGGACAUCAGGAGGUUAGUGCAAUGGCAUAAGCCAGCUUGACUGCGAGCGUGACGGCGCGAGCAGGUGCGAAAGCAGGUCAUAGUGAUCCGGUGGUUCUGAAUGGAAGGGCCAUCGCUCAACGGAUAAAAGGUACUCCGGGGAUAACAGGCUGAUACCGCCCAAGAGUUCAUAUCGACGGCGGUGUUUGGCACCUCGAUGUCGGCUCAUCACAUCCUGGGGCUGAAGUAGGUCCCAAGGGUAUGGCUGUUCGCCAUUUAAAGUGGUACGCGAGCUGGGUUUAGAACGUCGUGAGACAGUUCGGUCCCUAUCUGCCGUGGGCGCUGGAGAACUGAGGGGGGCUGCUCCUAGUACGAGAGGACCGGAGUGGACGCAUCACUGGUGUUCGGGUUGUCAUGCCAAUGGCACUGCCCGGUAGCUAAAUGCGGAAGAGAUAAGUGCUGAAAGCAUCUAAGCACGAAACUUGCCCCGAGAUGAGUUCUCCCUGACUCCUUGAGAGUCCUGAAGGAACGUUGAAGACGACGACGUUGAUAGGCCGGGUGUGUAAGCGCAGCGAUGCGUUGAGCUAACCGGUACUAAUGAACCGUGAGGCUUAACCUUACAACGCCGAAGCUGUU